AUUGAACGCUGGCGGCAGGCCUAACACAUGCAAGUCGAGCGGAUGAAGGGAGCUUGCUCCUGGAUUCAGCGGCGGACGGGUGAGUAAUGCCUAGGAAUCUGCCUGGUAGUUGGGGAUAACGUCCGGAAACGGGCGCUAAUACCGCAUACGUCCUUAGGGAGAAAGUGGGGGAUCUUCGGACCUCACGCUAUCAGAUGAGCCUAGGUCGGAUUAGCUAGUUGGUGGGGUAAAGGCCUACCAAGGCGACGAUCCGUAACUGGUCUGAGAGGAUGAUCAGUCACACUGGAACUGAGACACGGUCCAGACUCCUACGGGAGGCAGCAGUGGGGAAUAUUGGACAAUGGGCGAAAGCCUGAUCCAGCCAUGCCGCGUGUGUGAAGAAGGUCUUCGGAUUGUAAAGCACUUUAAGUUGGGAGGAAGGGCAGUAAGUUAAUACCUUGCUGUUUUGACGUUACCAACAGAAUAAGCACCGGCUAACUUCGUG
This 484-nucleotide ribosomal RNA is filed under the name uncultured bacterium. RNAcentral describes it as "partial 16S ribosomal RNA". It matches the Rfam family "Bacterial small subunit ribosomal RNA", at positions 30 to 507 of the family's 1533-position model. The record is from RNAcentral.